AAUAAGAUGCAUGCAAGCAUCUAAAAAAUUACAUGACAUCGCAGAUCACAUCGCAGGUCAUUACAUUUGAUACCAAAAGGGUUUGAAUCCUAUGAUCAUCACCAUAUGCAACAAUUAUAAUUUUCAGAUCUGAAAACUAACUGAUUAUAUCAUGACAUAGGUUGCUGAUCAUGCUAAUCAUGAUUCUAAACUUUGUAAUUCAUUAACAAUGCA
This 213-nucleotide long non-coding RNA is filed under the name Phoenix dactylifera (date palm). Its description in RNAcentral is "long non-coding RNA (PDAC_LNC013518)". The record is from RNAcentral. Lineage: Eukaryota; Viridiplantae; Streptophyta; Magnoliopsida; Arecales; Arecaceae.